UUCGAGGCCUGGCGGCAGGAGCGCGAAGAGGGGGGCCUGGCAGGGCGGGCCCAGCUGCAGUCUCCCGAGAGGGCCCCGGCCGCCGCAUCCCUGUCCCUGGGUCCAGGGGGCCGAACAGGGUUCCGGGCAGGCUGGGGGGCCCCGUUGACCCCCAUCAGCCCGGCCGGACCGGAGGGGCGUGGCCAGCGCCAGGGGGAGGGGCCGGGGAGAGACGCCGGGGAGGGCGGCAGGGUCCGGCUGGGCGCGGGCUGCCGCGCGGAGCCCCCAUCCUGGGCUAUUUAUAGCCCCCGCGGACCCCGCUUCCAGGCGGGGAGGACUCGUCGCCCCUCCUCCAGCGCCGGAGGACCUCGCGCACCCCGGCGUCCCGAGCUGCCGCGCCCUCCGUCCGUGCCCUUCGGAGACGGGGCAGCGCCGGGGUCUUCGGUGCGUCCCGCUCCCGGCCGUGACUCGGUGGCUCCGGAAGGCCGGACAACCCCCGCACCCCGCUCCGCCCUCCCUGGCCUGACCCGGCGUCCGCGCGUCCGCCGCCCGCCCGCCGGGCUGUACGACAGGGGCGACCCCAACGCGAGCCACCGACCUUCGCGUCCAGAUCAACUCGGGCCAGGCUGUGGGACCUCGGAUGAGAGAUUGAACGUCUGUGCCUCGGUUUGCCCCCUCUGCAAAAUGGGUACCACAGUAAGACCUUUAUGAACUUUCCCUGCCUGGCAUCCCCGGGCUUCCCAUGUCUGCCUGUCUUCCCCUCUUCCUCCCCCCGGGUACCCCCGCUGCCCACAUGGGGAGACUUCCCAUCUUUUUGAGGAACCAAGAGCUGUUUUUUUGAAUGAUCUCUUACUUCAUUUCCACUUGACGUCCCCACAUCUGGCGUGGUUGUCCACACUCGCGGAGUCAGACCCAGAUGGCUCCACAGUUGCCCCACCGCGAGCACUGGGUCCCUCUCGCUGACAUUUAUAGCCCAUCCCUAGGGAGUCUGUCACUCCACAUGAGCUGUGCUUGUUCCCAGAGUGGAAAUGGAUUUCUGGGCUUAUUUCUAAUUGUAAAAACAAUGCCAUGAAAACGGGGGUGGGGGGCGGAAUCCACAUGAUUGCAACAUGUGCAAGGAAGCAUCAUCCUAACACACGGAAGGUGUCGGGCCCCCACCAUGCGUGCGUGACGGGCUGUGGCCCAGAGGCUGACCUCGGAGCCGGCGUGUAAGCCGACCUCCAGCUGCUGUCCUCACCUUGGACGCAUCCCGUCUCCCCACGGCUGACGGGGGCGAGCAGGGGCGGGGAGCCCCCACCGUGGGUGCCCGGGGCUGCCGUUCAAACCCAGGACCGCUUGGGUCUCCUCUGAGACCCAGAAAAUACUAACUGGUCUCCAGGGGUCACAGAGGAGAUAGGGCUGGCCCUCCCCCUUGAGGG
RNAcentral lists this long non-coding RNA (1397 nucleotides) under Suricata suricatta (meerkat). RNAcentral describes it as "lncRNA (ENSSSUG00005013385.1)". The record is from RNAcentral. Lineage: Eukaryota; Metazoa; Chordata; Mammalia; Carnivora; Herpestidae.